Molecule: ribosomal RNA, 1372 nt
Filed under: uncultured bacterium
Lineage: Bacteria
Description: bacterial SSU rRNA
Rfam family: Bacterial small subunit ribosomal RNA
Source: RNAcentral
GAUGAACGCUGGCGGCGUGCCUAAUACAUGCAAGUCGAGCGAACGGACGAGAAGCUUGCUUCUCUGAUGUUAGCGGCGGACGGGUGAGUAACACGUGGAUAACCUACCUAUAAGACUGGGAUAACUUCGGGAAACCGGAGCUAAUACCGGAUAAUAUUUUGAACCGCAUGGUUCAAAAGUGAAAGACGGUCUUGCUGUCACUUAUAGAUGGAUCCGCGCUGCAUUAGCUAGUUGGUAAGGUAACGGCUUACCAAGGCAACGAUGCAUAGCCGACCUGAGAGGGUGAUCGGCCACACUGGAACUGAGACACGGUCCAGACUCCUACGGGAGGCAGCAGUAGGGAAUCUUCCGCAAUGGGCGAAAGCCUGACGGAGCAACGCCGCGUGAGUGAUGAAGGUCUUCGGAUCGUAAAACUCUGUUAUUAGGGAAGAACAUAUGUGUAAGUAACUGUGCACAUCUUGACGGUACCUAAUCAGAAAGCCACGGCUAACUACGUGCCAGCAGCCGCGGUAAUACGUAGGUGGCAAGCGUUAUCCGGAAUUAUUGGGCGUAAAGCGCGCGUAGGCGGUUUUUUAAGUCUGAUGUGAAAGCCCACGGCUCAACCGUGGAGGGUCAUUGGAAACUGGAAAACUUGAGUGCAGAAGAGGAAAGUGGAAUUCCAUGUGUAGCGGUGAAAUGCGCAGAGAUAUGGAGGAACACCAGUGGCGAAGGCGACUUUCUGGUCUGUAACUGACGCUGAUGUGCGAAAGCGUGGGGAUCAAACAGGAUUAGAUACCCUGGUAGUCCACGCCGUAAUCGAUGAGUGCUAAGUGUUAGGGGGUUUCCGCCCCUUAGUGCUGCAGCUAACGCAUUAAGCACUCCGCCUGGGGAGUACGACCGCAAGGUUGAAACUCAAAGGAAUUGACGGGGACCCGCACAAGCGGUGGAGCAUGUGGUUUAAUUCGAAGCGACGCGAAGAACCUUACCAAAUCUUGACAUCCUUUGACAACUCUAGAGAUAGAGCCUUCCCCUUCGGGGGACAAAGUGACAGGUGGUGCAUGGUUGUCGUCAGCUCGUGUCGUGAGAUGUUGGGUUAAGUCCCGCAACGAGCGCAACCCUUAAGCUUAGUUGCCAUCAUUAAGUUGGGCACUCUAAGUUGACUGCCGGUGACAAACCGGAGGAAGGUGGGGAUGACGUCAAAUCAUCAUGCCCCUUAUGAUUUGGGCUACGCACGUGCUACAAUGGACAAUACAAAGGGCAGCGAAACCGCGAGGUCAAGCAAAUCCCAUAAAGUUGUUCUCAGUUCGGAUUGUAGUCUGCAACUCGACUACAUGAAGCUGGAAUCGCUAGUAAUCGUAGAUCAGCAUGCUACGGUGAAUACGAUCCCGGGUCU